Molecule: long non-coding RNA, 704 nt
Organism: Notolabrus celidotus (New Zealand spotty)
Lineage: Eukaryota; Metazoa; Chordata; Actinopteri; Labriformes; Labridae
Exons: 2
Source: RefSeq, a predicted model, not a curated record
UCACUGGAUUCAAAGUCCAGAGUGCUCACCAUUACACCAUGGAACCAGCUUGAAGGUUGCGCACGCAGUUGUGAACAUGUUUCUCACUUGACUUCAGCCUACCUACUGUUGCGAUAGAUACUGCCCUGUAACAGGACUGAGCUUAAGUCCAAGCGACCAGAAACCUCAGCAAAGCCAAAGCUGUGUUCACAAACUAAAGGACUAGUAAUAUCAGCAGAGCAAUUGGUACUCAAGUUGUACACAUGAGCAAAGCCAGGUACCUGCAACUGGAUUUUUGUAGAAACUGCUUUGGCCUUCCAUUAGUCUUCCUCCCCACUGCAAGGAGCGAUGUCUUCGUCCUCCAGCCCAAAAGGUUGUUCUUGUUGUUGCCAGGUGAAAACAGUAGCAGUCUGCACCCUGAAUGGAGCCAAAAGGAAUGGAAGCUGCCUCAUCACAAGACUUGAAUAGCAGUUCCCCAACCCUAGACCUUCAUAGAGGACUUUUUCUCAUGUCUGCUGGAGACCACCUUCAACAUGGAACUGAAAAUGCCUCCUCUUAGCAUCUUUAUUUUUCUGUGUCAAAGCAGAUUAUUUUGCAUGUUUUAUCUUCAGACUAUUUACCCGUAAAUUAUGCACCAUGUUACUGUUGGUGAUUGUUGUAAACAUCAUUGUCAAUGUUUUUUUGUGUUGUUUACUUCAAUUUUCAAUAAAGACACAUUUUCUGUA